GUGAGAAUCUGGCUCCAGGUCGGGGAUAACAGUUGGAAACGACUGCUAAUACCGGAUGUGCCGAGAGGUGAAAGAUUUAUCGCCUGGAGAUGAGCUCGCGUCUGAUUAGCUAGUUGGCGGUGUAAGGGACCACCAAGGCAUCGAUCAGUAGCUGGUCUGAGAGGAUGAUCAGCCACACUGGGACUGAGACACGGCCCAGACUCCUACGGGAGGCAGCAGUGGGGAAUUUUCCGCAAUGGGCGAAAGCCUGACGGAGCAAUACCGCGUGAGGGAGGAAGGCUCUUGGGUCGUAAACCUCUUUUCUCAAGGAAGAAGAAAGUGACGGUACUUGAGGAAUAAGCAUCGGCUAACUCCGUGCCAGCAGCCGCGGUAAUACGGAGGAUGCAAGCGUUAUCCGGAAUGAUUGGGCGUAAAGGGUCUGCAGGUGGAACUGAAAGUCUGCUGUUAAAGAGUUUGGCUUAACCAAAUAAAAGCGGUGGAAACUACAGAACUAGAGUGCGGUAGGGGCAAAAGGAAUUCCUGGUGUAGCGGUGAAAUGCGUAGAUAUCAGGAAGAACACCGGUGGCGAAAGCGUUUU
RNAcentral lists this ribosomal RNA (577 nucleotides) under Cylindrospermopsis raciborskii LP2. RNAcentral describes it as "bacterial SSU rRNA". It matches the Rfam family "Bacterial small subunit ribosomal RNA", at positions 117 to 727 of the family's 1533-position model. Lineage: Bacteria; Bacillati; Cyanobacteriota; Cyanophyceae; Nostocales; Aphanizomenonaceae. The record is from RNAcentral.